RNAcentral lists this transfer RNA (85 nucleotides) under Pedosphaera sp. RNAcentral describes it as "tRNA-Leu". It matches the Rfam family "tRNA". From Rfam's summary of the family: Transfer RNA (tRNA) molecules are approximately 80 nucleotides in length. Their secondary structure includes four short double-helical elements and three loops (D, anti-codon, and T loops). The record is from RNAcentral. RNAcentral also lists the same sequence under 1 other name. Lineage: Bacteria; Pseudomonadati; Verrucomicrobiota; Pedosphaerae; Pedosphaerales; Pedosphaeraceae.
GCGCUUGUGGUGGAAUUGGCAGACACGCUACUUUGAGGUGGUAGUGGCUAACGCCGUGCAGGUUCAAGUCCUGUCAAGCGCACCA